AACGAACGCUGGCGGCAUGCCUAACACAUGCCAGUCGAACGAGACCUUCGGGUCUAGUGGCGCACGGGUGGGUAACGCGUGGGAACCUGCCCUUAGGUUCGGAAUAACUCCCCGAAAGGGGUGCUAAUACCGGAUAAUGUCUUCGGACCAAAGAUUUAUCGCCUUUGGGUGGGGCCGGGUUGGAUUAGCUGGUUGGUAGGGGAAAAGCCUACCAAGGCGAGAAUGCAUAGCUGGUCUGAGAGCAUGGUCAGCCACACUGGGUCUGAGACACGGCCCAGACUCCUACGGGAGGCAGCAGUGGGGAAUAUUGGACAAUGGGCGAAAGCCUGAUCCAGCAAUGCCGCGUGAGUGAUGAAGGCCGUAGGGUUGUAAAGCUCUUUUACCCGGGAUGAUAAUGACGGUACCGGGAGAAUAAGCUCCGGCUAACUCCGUG
RNAcentral lists this ribosomal RNA (433 nucleotides) under uncultured bacterium. Its description in RNAcentral is "partial 16S ribosomal RNA". It matches the Rfam family "Bacterial small subunit ribosomal RNA", at positions 29 to 507 of the family's 1533-position model. The record is from RNAcentral.